UUUUGGGGUUUAUGGUCCCUAAGUUUUAGAAAUUAGGGGCCCAAAGGGGCCCAAAACAAGCAUUUAUCUAAUGUCAGUACAAAUAGUUGUGUAUAAGUAUUUCAAUUGUUCUGAAAUUGUACCACAAUGUUUAAUACCAUAAGUAGAAGGUUGGGAUAUAUUUUGUGGGUUAUGGGGCAAACAGUCAAGGAAUAAAGGCCAAAAAAGGGGCCAAAAACAAGCAUUUUUGUAGUUUCAAGACAAUAAAUUGAUGUUAUCUUUCUUUGUCCAGAAUGGUUGUUGAAUCACCUAAAACCAAUGCUUUAUGAAAUCUUCUUUGAAAAUUGGAGUUAUCUUUCUUUGUCCAGAAUAGUAGUUGAAUCAACUUAAAUCAAUGCUAUAUACAAUAUACAAUGCAAUAUUCACUUUACUACCAACUGAUAAAUUAAAGCAGUCUUUACCAUUCAGUGAUUACAAGCAC
Molecule: long non-coding RNA, 460 nt
Filed under: Mytilus galloprovincialis (Mediterranean mussel)
Lineage: Eukaryota; Metazoa; Mollusca; Bivalvia; Mytilida; Mytilidae
Source: RNAcentral